RNAcentral lists this ribosomal RNA (561 nucleotides) under uncultured bacterium. RNAcentral's name for it is "partial 16S ribosomal RNA". It matches the Rfam family "Bacterial small subunit ribosomal RNA", at positions 355 to 909 of the family's 1533-position model. The record is from RNAcentral.
UGGGGAAUUUUGGACAAUGGGCGAAAGCCUGAUCCAGCAAUGCCGCGUGUGUGAAGAAGGCCUUCGGGUUGUAAAGCACUUUUGUCCGGAAAGAAAUCCUUGGCUCUAAUACAGUCGGGGGAUGACGGUACCGGAAGAAUAAGCACCGGCUAACUACGUGCCAGCAGCCGCGGUAAUACGUAGGGUGCAAGCGUUAAUCGGAAUUACUGGGCGUAAAGCGUGCGCAGGCGGUUUGCUAAGACCGAUGUGAAAUCCCCGGGCUCAACCUGGGAACUGCAUUGGUGACUGGCAGGCUAGAGUAUGGCAGAGGGGGGUAGAAUUCCACGUGUAGCAGUGAAAUGCGUAGAGAUGUGGAGGAAUACCGAUGGCGAAGGCAGCCCCCUGGGCCAAUACUGACGCUCAUGCACGAAAGCGUGGGGAGCAAACAGGAUUAGAUACCCUGGUAGUCCACGCCCUAAACGAUGUCAACUAGUUGUUGGGGAUUCAUUUCCUUAGUAACGUAGCUAACGCGUGAAGUUGACCGCCUGGGGAGUACGGUCGCAAGAUUAAAACUCAAAUGAA